UGGGGAAUCUUGGACAAUGGGCGCAAGCCUGAUCCAGCAAUGCCGCGUGAGUGAAGAAGGCCUUCGGGUUGUAAAGCUCUUUUGUCAGGGAAGAAACGGUAGUAGCGAAUAACUACUACUAAUGACGGUACCUGAAGAAUAAGCACCGGCUAACUACGUGCCAGCAGCCGCGGUAAUACGUAGGGUGCAAGCGUUAAUCGGAAUUACUGGGCGUAAAGCGUGCGCAGGCGGUUGUGUAAGUCAGAUGUGAAAUCCCCGGGCUCAACCUGGGAAUUGCAUUUGAGACUGCACGGCUAGAGUGUGUCAGAGGGGGGUAGAAUUCCACGUGUAGCAGUGAAAUGCGUAGAUAUGUGGAGGAAUACCGAUGGCGAAGGCAGCCCCCUGGGAUAACACUGACGCUCAUGCACGAAAGCGUGGGGAGCAAACAGGAUUAGAUACCCCAGUAGUCCCUGAGCGGGCUGGCAAGGCGCAU
Molecule: ribosomal RNA, 472 nt
Filed under: uncultured bacterium
Lineage: Bacteria
Description: bacterial SSU rRNA
Rfam family: Bacterial small subunit ribosomal RNA
Source: RNAcentral